GGAUCAGGACAACCUGGCUUUGAUCUUGUAUGCCAUUGACCACCAUGGUUGAUUUGGCUGGUCUGAUGAGCUAGGUGGAUGCCACUCCUUCCUUCAUCGGUCCAUGUGUGUCCUCUGCAAAGCUGCAUACCGUUGUUAAAGGACAUGACCUUCCUGGAAGGAUGAAGACCAGUUUUCAGUCAAGGGUUCUUGGAUAGUUAGUUGUGCUUUCUUGUUAAAAAUCUUCAAAUAAAUUCCCAAGAGAUAGACAUGUGCUGCUUUAUAAACUCUUCCUGG
This 276-nucleotide small nuclear RNA is filed under the name Meriones unguiculatus (Mongolian gerbil). Its description in RNAcentral is "7SK RNA (ENSMUGG00000015587.1)". It matches the Rfam family "7SK RNA". Rfam says of the family: 7SK was discovered as an abundant small nuclear RNA in the mid-70s but a possible function has only recently been suggested. Two independent studies have found that 7SK RNA binds the CDK9/cyclin T complex (known as elongation factor P-TEFb). The record is from RNAcentral. Lineage: Eukaryota; Metazoa; Chordata; Mammalia; Rodentia; Muridae.